UACGUAGGGUGCAAGCGUUGUCCGGAAUUAUUGGGCGUAAAGAGCUCGUAGGCGGUCUGUCGCGUCGGCUGUGAAAUCCCGAGGCUCAACCUCGGGUCUGCAGUCGAUACGGGCAAACUAGAGUAUUGCAGGGGAGACUGGAAUUCCGGGUGUAGCGGUGAAAUGCGCAGAUAUCAGGAGGAACACCGGUGGCGAAGGCGGGUCUCUGGGCAAUAACUGACGCUGAGGAGCGAAAGCGUGGGGAGCGAACAGG
Molecule: ribosomal RNA, 253 nt
Filed under: uncultured bacterium
Lineage: Bacteria
Description: partial 16S ribosomal RNA
Rfam family: Bacterial small subunit ribosomal RNA
Source: RNAcentral